CCAGCAGCCGCGGUAAUAUUAUUGGGCGUAAAGAGCUCGUAGGCGGUUUGUCGCGUCUGCUGUGAAAACCCGAGGCUCAACCUCGGGCCUGCAGUGGGUACGGGCAGACUAGAGUGCGGUAGGGGAGAAUGGAAUUCCUGGUGUAGCGGUGGAAUGCGCAGAUAUCAGGAGGAACACCGAUGGCGAAGGCAGUUCUCUGGGCCGUUACUGACGCUGAGGAGCGAAAGCGUGGGGAGCGAACAGGAUUAGAUACCCUGGUAGUCCACGCCGUAAACGUUGGGAACUAGAUGUGGGGACCUUUCCACGGUCUCCGUGUCGCAGCUAACGCAUUAAGUUCCCCGCCUGGGGAGUACGGCCGCAAGGCUAAAACUCAAAGGAAUUGACGGGGGCCCGCACAAGCGGCGGAGCAUGCGGAUUAAUUCGAUGCAACGCGAAGAACCUUACCAAGGCUUGACAUAUACCGGAAACUUCCAGAAAUGGUUGCCCCGCAAGGUCGGUAUACAGGUGGUGCAUGGUUGUCGUCAGCUCGUGUCGUGAGAUGUUGGGUUAAGUCCCGCAACGAGCGCAACCCUCGUUCUAUGUUGCCAGCACGUCAUGGUGGCAACUCAUAGGAGACUGCCGGGGUCAACUCGUAGGAAGGUGGGGAUGA
Molecule: ribosomal RNA, 649 nt
Filed under: Rathayibacter festucae
Lineage: Bacteria; Bacillati; Actinomycetota; Actinomycetes; Micrococcales; Microbacteriaceae
Description: bacterial SSU rRNA
Rfam family: Bacterial small subunit ribosomal RNA
Source: RNAcentral